RNAcentral lists this ribosomal RNA (502 nucleotides) under uncultured bacterium. Its description in RNAcentral is "partial 16S ribosomal RNA". It matches the Rfam family "Bacterial small subunit ribosomal RNA", at positions 28 to 507 of the family's 1533-position model. The record is from RNAcentral.
GACGAACGCUGGCGGCGUGCUUAACACAUGCAAGUCGAACGGUGAAGGGGUCUGCUUUUGUGGGCCCUGGAUGAGUGGCGAACGGGUGAGUAACACGUGAGUAACCUGCCCCCUUCUUCUGGAUAACCGCAUGAAAGUGUGGCUAAUACGGGAUAUUCUGGGUCUGUCGCAUGAUGGGUCUGGGAAAGAUUGCGCCUUUGGGUGUUUUUGGUGGGGGAUGGGCUCGCGGCCUAUCAGCUUGUUGGUGGGGUGAUGGCCUACCAAGGCGGUGACGGGUAGCCGGGCGGAGAGGGUGGACGGUCACACUGGGACUGAGACACGGCCCAGACUCCUACGGGAGGCAGCAGUGGGGAAUAUUGCACAAUGGGCGCAAGCCUGAUGCAGCGACGCCGCGUGAGGGAUGGAGGCCUUCGGGUUGUAAACCUCUUUCGCCAGUGAAGCAGGCCUGCUCCGUGUGGGUGGGUUGACGGUAGCUGGAGAAGAAGCGCCGGCUAACUACGUG